ACUCCUACGGGAGGCAGCAGUGGGGAAUCUUGCGCAAUGGGCGAAAGCCUGACGCAGCGACGCCGCGUGGGGGAAGAAGGCUUUCGGGUUGUAAACCCCUUUCAGGAGAGACGAAGCUACUCGGGUUAAUAGCCCAGAGGGCGACGGUAUCUUCAGAAGAAGCCCCGGCUAACUACGUGCCAGCAGCCGCGGUAAUACGUAGGGGGCAAGCGUUGUCCGGAUUUAUUGGGCGUAAAGAGCGUGUAGGCGGCCAUGUAGGUCCGUUGUGAAAACUCGAGGCUCAACCUCGAGACGCCGAUGGAAACCAUGUGGCUAGAGUCCGGAAGAGGAGAGUGGAAUUCCUGGUGUAGCGGUGAAAUGCGUAGAGAUC
RNAcentral lists this ribosomal RNA (370 nucleotides) under uncultured bacterium. RNAcentral describes it as "bacterial SSU rRNA". It matches the Rfam family "Bacterial small subunit ribosomal RNA", at positions 335 to 698 of the family's 1533-position model. The record is from RNAcentral.